GAAAUGCGAUAAGUAAUGUGAAUUGCAGAAUUCAGUGAAUCAUCGAAUCUUUGAACGCACAUUGCGCCCGCCAGUAUUCUGGCGGGCAUGCCUGUUCGAGCGUCAUUUCAACCAUCAAGCCCCCGGGCCUGUGUUGGGGACCUGCGGCCGCCGCAGGCCCCGAAAAGCAGUGGCGGGCUCGCUGUCACCCCGAGCGUAGUAGUAAUCACCUCGCUUAGGGCGUGCUGUGAGCGCCGCAUCGAUGAAGAAC
This 250-nucleotide unclassified non-coding RNA is filed under the name uncultured Thielavia. RNAcentral describes it as "sequence contains ITS1". The stretch from base 1 to 105 matches the Rfam family "5.8S ribosomal RNA", at positions 50 to 154 of the family's 154-position model. The record is from RNAcentral. Lineage: Eukaryota; Fungi; Ascomycota; Sordariomycetes; Sordariales; Chaetomiaceae.